UACGUAGGGGGCAAGCGUUGUCCGGAUUUAUUGAGCGUAAAGCGCUCGCAGGUGGUUCGUUGCGUCGUGCGUGAAAGACCCCGGCUCAACUGGGGAGGGUCGUGCGAUACGGGCGAACUGGAGGCCAGUAGGGGGAUGCGGAAUUCCGGGUGUAGUGGUGGAAUGCGUAGAGAUCCGGAGGAACGCCAGCGGCGAAGGCGGCAUCCUGGACUGGUCCUGACACUCAUGAGCGAAAGCGUGGGGAGCGAUCCGG
This 253-nucleotide ribosomal RNA is filed under the name uncultured bacterium. RNAcentral describes it as "partial 16S ribosomal RNA". It matches the Rfam family "Bacterial small subunit ribosomal RNA", at positions 524 to 776 of the family's 1533-position model. The record is from RNAcentral.